This is a long non-coding RNA of Lampris incognitus (smalleye Pacific opah), 154 nucleotides long. RefSeq lists it as uncharacterized. The record is from RefSeq and is a predicted model, not a curated record. The transcript has 3 exons. Lineage: Eukaryota; Metazoa; Chordata; Actinopteri; Lampriformes; Lampridae.
GUAAGCUGAGUGAUGCAGGCGUAAUGCAUUCUGAGUCAUUCUAAUGAAAUCCAUGGGUGCAAAUAGCGCGAUGAAUGUCGUGGGAUGUACAGACUGUUUGAGGAAGUCCAAACGUGAUAAGCAAGAUAUUAGGAGUUUUGUACAAAGUCAGAAG